This 43-nucleotide transfer RNA is filed under the name Glenea relicta. RNAcentral describes it as "partial tRNA-Leu". Lineage: Eukaryota; Metazoa; Arthropoda; Insecta; Coleoptera; Cerambycidae. The record is from RNAcentral.
UUGGAUUUAAACCCCAAAUAUAAAGCUUUAACUUUUUUUAGAA